GAAGCUCCUGCCCUCCUCCUUCUGGGUCGUUUGGCUUCGUUCGAAGACCCCAGCCCAGCUUUUGCAUCCCUUCCAGUAAUUAGUGGAUUUCUUCGUUAUCUGACGGGGGUCCCGGAUCCCUCCCCCCGUGCUUUUCGUUUGCUGCAACGUUUAAUGGGGCAGCCGGCCCUUUUGGGGUCGUUGGUGCAGGGUUACGUUCCGUCCCUCAUCCAUUCGUGGUUGGUUCUGGGUUUGGAACCGGGUGAGGCAGAGGAGGCGGCGAAACCCACGGUGGGGCGGCGGGAUCGAGGGCGGGGGGGGGCGGAUGAAGAACGGGGGCUGGGGGGUCGAGGACGGGGGCAGGGUCCAGNNNNNNNNNNNNNNNNNNNNNNNNNNNNNNNNNNNNNNNNNNNNNNNNNNNNNNNNNNNNNNNNNNNNNNNNNNNNNNNNNNNNNNNNNNNNNNNNNNNNNNNNNNNNNNNNNNCAAGAACGUGGGCAGGGGGAGCAGGAACGGGGGCAGGAUCAAGAACAGGGGCUGUGGGGUGGAGAACGGGGGCAGUGGGAUCGAGAACGGGGGCAGGAUCGAGAACGUUGUCAGCUGGAUCGAGAACGGGGGCUGCAAGAUCAAAAACGGGGGCUGCGGGGUCGAGAACGGUGUCAAUCAGUGGGAUCGAGAGCGGGGUCAGCAGCGUCAGUGGGAUCAAGAAUGGGGUCAGGGGGGUCGAGAACGGGGUCAGGAUGGGGCCCAAGGGGAUCGGGGACAUCAGUGGGAUCAAGAACGGGGUCAGGGGGGUCGAGAACGGAGUCAGGAUGGAGGCCAAGGGGAUCGGGGACGUCAGUGGGGUCAAGAGCGGGGUCAGCAGCGUCAGUGGGAUCAAGAAUGGGGUCAGGGGGGUCGAGAACGGGGUCAGGAUGGGGCCCAAGAGGAUCGGGGACAUCAGUGGGAUCGAGAGCGGGGUCAGCAGCGUCAGUGGGAUCAAGAAUGGGGUCAGGGGGGUCGAGAACGGGGUCAGGAUGGGGCCCAAGGGGAUCGGGGACAUCAGUGGGAUCAAGAACGGGGUCAGGGGGGUCGAGAACGGAGUCAGGAUGGAGGCCAAGGGGAUCGGGGACGUCAGUGGGGUCAAGAGCGGGGUCAGCAGCGUCAGUGGGAUCAAGAAUGGGGUCAGGGGGGUCGAGAACGGGGUCAGGAUGGGGCCCAAGAGGAUCGGGGACAUCAGUGGGAUCGAGAGCGGGGUCAGCAGCGUCAGUGGGAUCAAGAAUGGGGUCAGGGGGGUCGAGAACGGGGUCAGGAUGGGGCCCAAGGGGAUCGGGGACAUCAGUGGGAUCAAGAACGGGGUCAGGGGGGUCGAGAACGGAGUCAGGAUGGAGGCCAAGGGGAUCGGGGACGUCAGUGGGGUCAAGAGCGGGGUCAGCAGCGUCAGUGGGAUCAAGAAUGGGGUCAGGGGGGUCGAGAACGGGGUCAGGAUGGGGCCCAAGAGGAUCGGGGACAUCAGUGGGAUCGAGAGCGGGGUCAGCAGCGUCAGUGGGAUCAAGAAUGGGGUCAGGGGGGUCGAGAACGGGGUCAGGAUGGGGCCCAAGGGGAUCGGGGACAUCAGUGGGAUCAAGAACGGGGUCAGGGGGGUCGAGAACGGAGUCAGGAUGGAGGCCAAGGGGAUCGGGGACGUCAGUGGGGUCAAGAGCGGGGUCAGCAGCGUCAGUGGGAUCAAGAAUGGGGUCAGGGGGGUCGAGAACGGGGUCAGGAUGGGGCCCAAGAGGAUCGGGGACAUCAGUGGGAUCGAGAGCGGGGUCAGCAGCGUCAGUGGGAUCAAGAAUGGGGUCAGGGGGGUCGAGAACGGGGUCAGGAUGGGGCCCAAGAGGAUCGGGGACAUCAGUGGGAUCGAGAGCGGGGUCAGCAGCGUCAGUGGGCUCAAGAAUGGGGUCAGGGGGGUCGAGAACGGGGUCAGGAUGGGGCCCAAGAGGAUCAGGGACAUCAGUGGGGUGGAGAAGGGGGUCGACAGGAUCGAGAACGGCAUCAAGGGGGUCGAGAACGUCAAGUGGGUGUGAAACGGCGGCAUCAGGAUGGGGAACGUUGGGGGGGGUGCCAAUGGGAUCGAGAACAGCGUCAGCCAGGUCUAGAACGGCGUCAACGGGAUCAGGAGCAUCAAGCAGAUGGAGAACAACGCCAACGGGAUCGAGAACCACAUGGAGCAGAUCUAGAACGACACCAACGGGAUCCAGAAUGGCAUCGAGUGGGUUUAGAGCAGCACGAGCUGGAUCUAGAACAACACCAACUGGAUCAAAAAUGGUGUCGGUGGUGUCAACGGGAUCAAGAACUGCAUCAGGCAGACCGAGAACGGCAUCAACCAGAUCUAGAACAGCACCAGCAGGAUCCGGAAUGGCAGCGAAUGGGUCUAGAACAGCAGCAAGGAGAUCUAGAACUGCAUCAACCAGAUCUAGAAUGGCAUCAACCAGAUCUAGAACAGCAUCAACAGGAUCCAGAGUGGCAGCGAAUGGAUCUAGAACAGCAGCAAGCAGAUCUGGAACUGCAUCAACCAGAUCUAGAACUGCAUCAACCAGACCUAGAACGGCACAAACAGGAUCCAGAAUGGCGUCGAAUGGAUCUAGAACAGCAGCAAGCAGAUCUAGAACUGCAGCAACCAGAUCUAGAACAGCACCAACGUGAUCCAGAAUGUCAUCAAAUGGAUCUAGAACAACAACAACCAGAUCUAGAACAGCACCCACAGGAUCCAGAAUGGCGUCGAAUGGAUCUAGAACAGCAGCAAGCAGAUCUAGAACGGGACCCACACGAUCUAGAACGGUGUCAAACGGAUCCGGAACGGCAGCGAUCAGAUCUAGAACAGCGUCGCCCAGAUCUGGAAUGGCGCCGGCGACGUCGGCGGGGUCGGGAACGGGGGGGUGAAGAUGGAGAACGGGA
Molecule: long non-coding RNA, 2893 nt
Organism: Chrysolophus pictus (golden pheasant)
Lineage: Eukaryota; Metazoa; Chordata; Aves; Galliformes; Phasianidae
Source: Ensembl